This 482-nucleotide ribosomal RNA is filed under the name uncultured bacterium. RNAcentral's name for it is "partial 16S ribosomal RNA". It matches the Rfam family "Bacterial small subunit ribosomal RNA", at positions 30 to 507 of the family's 1533-position model. The record is from RNAcentral.
AUUGAACGCUGGCGGCAUGCCUUACACAUGCAAGUCGAGCGGUAACGGGCCUUCGGGUGCCGACGAGUGGCGAACGGGUGAGUAAUACAUCGGAACGUGCCCGAUCGUGGGGGAUAACGAGGCGAAAGCUUUGCUAAUACCGCAUACGAUCUACGGAUGAAAGCAGGGGACCGCAAGGCCUUGCGCGGACGGAGCGGCCGAUGGCAGAUUAGGUAGUUGGUGGGAUAAAAGCUUACCAAGCCGACGAUCUGUAGCUGGUCUGAGAGGAUGAUCAGCCACACUGGGACUGAGACACGGCCCAGACUCCUACGGGAGGCAGCAGUGGGGAAUUUUGGACAAUGGGCGCAAGCCUGAUCCAGCCAGGCCGCGUGCAGGAUGAAGGCCUUCGGGUUGUAAACUGCUUUUGUACGGAACGAAAAGCCUUCUUUUAAUACAGGAGGGUCAUGACGGUACCGGAAGAAUAAGCACCGGCUAACUACGUG